Nomascus leucogenys (northern white-cheeked gibbon) is the source of this 107-nucleotide small nuclear RNA. The record is from Ensembl. NCBI's taxonomy places the organism in Eukaryota, Metazoa, Chordata, Mammalia, Primates, Hylobatidae.
AUGCUCACCUCGGCAGCACAUAUCCUAAAAUUGGAACGAUACAGAGAAGAUUGGCAUGGCCCCUGCGCAAGGAUGACACGCAAAUUCGUGAAGCAUUCCAUAUUUUU